This 274-nucleotide ribosomal RNA is filed under the name uncultured bacterium. Its description in RNAcentral is "partial 16S ribosomal RNA". It matches the Rfam family "Bacterial small subunit ribosomal RNA", at positions 523 to 796 of the family's 1533-position model. The record is from RNAcentral.
AUACGGAGGGUGCAAGCGUUAAUCGGAAUUACUGGGCGUAAAGCGUACGUAGGCGGUUAUUUAAGUCAGAUGUGAAAGCCCCGGGCUUAACUUGGGGACUGCAUUUGAAACUGGGUAACUAGAGUUUAGUAGAGGGGAGUGGAAUUUCAGGUGUAGCGGUGAAAUGCGUAGAGAUCUGAAGGAACACCAGUGGCGAAGGCGACUCCCUGGACUAAAACUGACGCUGAGGUACGAAAGCGUGGGUAGCAAACAGGAUUAGAAACCCCGGUAGUCC